This 290-nucleotide ribosomal RNA is filed under the name Halipeurus abnormis. RNAcentral's name for it is "partial 12S ribosomal RNA". The record is from RNAcentral. Lineage: Eukaryota; Metazoa; Arthropoda; Insecta; Psocodea; Philopteridae.
UAGAGAUUUUUAAUCUUGAAAAAUAAAAUUACUUGGCGGCUAAUUAACUGAAUAGAGAAGUAUGCUUAUUAAUGGAUGGUUCACAUAAAUCUUACCUAGUAUUGUGUUUCAUUUGGUACACCGCCGUCGGAAGAGUGUAUUUUACAUAUACUCCUGUUCUUUAUUUAGAAUUAAGUCAGGCCAAGGCCCCGAUUAUUAUUAGGUUUAAGUGUAUUUCAUUGUUAUUAUAAUGUCUAAUAGUUUAUGAGUAUAAUUAUUUAAAUAUUUUAAGUAAGUGAAUCUAUAAGUAA